RNAcentral lists this ribosomal RNA (460 nucleotides) under uncultured bacterium. RNAcentral's name for it is "partial 16S ribosomal RNA". It matches the Rfam family "Bacterial small subunit ribosomal RNA", at positions 338 to 795 of the family's 1533-position model. The record is from RNAcentral.
CCUACGGGCGGCAGCAGUGAGGAAUAUUGGUCAAUGGACGAGAGUCUGAACCAGCCAAGUAGCGUGAAGGAUGACUGCCCUAUGGGUUGUAAACUUCUUUUAUCUGGGAAUAAAAUGUUCCACGUGUGGGAUUUUGUAGGUACCAUAUGAAUAAGGAUCGGCUAACUCCGUUCCAGCAGCCGCGGUAAUUCGGAGGAUCCGAGCGUUAUCCGGAUUUAUUGGGGUUAAAGGGAGCGUAGGUGGAUUGUGAAGUUAGUUGUGAAAGUUUGCGGCUCAACCGUAAAAUUGCAGUUGAAACUGGCAGUCUUGAGUACAGUAGAGGUGGGCGGAAUUCGUGGUGUAGCGGUGAAAUGCUUAGAUAUCACGAAGAACUCCGAUUGCGAAGGCAGUUCACUGGACUGCAACUGACACUGAGGCUCGAAAGUGUGGGUAUCAAACAGGAUUAGAUACCCUUGUAGUC